Molecule: long non-coding RNA, 703 nt
Filed under: Ananas comosus (pineapple)
Lineage: Eukaryota; Viridiplantae; Streptophyta; Magnoliopsida; Poales; Bromeliaceae
Description: long non-coding RNA (ACOM_LNC040989)
Source: RNAcentral
GUAAUAUAUAUAUAUAUAUACACGAGCUGAUAGUUUUUUUUUUAGAAAUAAAUAGCAUAUUACCCGCUUGGUUUAUUUCAUUUAGAAAUAAACUUAGCUGAAAAUAUGAAUCAACUAGAAUUCGAACUUGAGACCUCGAGUACCAACCACCAAGUCCUUUGUUACUUGCGCUAGGGACGGUCGGUAUAUAUGAGUUGAUAUUAAAAAAGUUACUCCAGUAUGCGUAUUACAACUAAGAUAACUAGAUGAGUGGAGUGUUCAAGGAGGUACGGUCAAUGACUACAGCCAUUAAAGAAUAAAAAAAAAGAGGGGGGAAUUAGCUCAACUUUUAUAUAUUGUCUCUAUAAAAGUCAUGAUGCUUUCAAAUAUAUUUCUAUCGUUAGAAUCCGUUAGAAAAUUUUAAUUAAUCAUAAGUUAAAUACUUAAUCAUGAUUAGUUUUUGAUAUUUUUAUCCUUUUAUAUGAUACUGUUAUGGCUUUUUAAGGGAUAUAUUUAUAAUGGCAAAAUUGAAAAUAUAAACAGUUCUUUAACGGUAACAAAUCAGAGGGAUAUAUUUAACUUUUGCAAGAACAAUAUAUAAAAGUUUAACUUUGUAAGAAUAUACUUGUUAUUAUUCAUUAUAUUUAUAGAAAUCUGUAUGAAAUUAACCCAAAAAAAAUAUUGCAUGACAUUUGAGUAUGCUAACAUAAGCUACUUAUACAUA